Molecule: ribosomal RNA, 405 nt
Filed under: Triticum aestivum (bread wheat)
Lineage: Eukaryota; Viridiplantae; Streptophyta; Magnoliopsida; Poales; Poaceae
Description: partial small subunit ribosomal RNA
Source: RNAcentral
AUGACACAACCAAAAUCCAUGGGUGGUCUUGGCUUUAAAGAUUUUGAGUUAUUCAAUCUGGCCAUGUUAGCCAAGCAGGUAUGGCGCCUGCUUCAGACCCCUGAUUCGCUAAGUGACAGACUCCUAAAAAGUGUCUAUUACCCCAACAACAAUAUAUUGGAGGCAAACUUAGGGGGACAUCCAAGCCAAGUAUGGAGAGCUAUUGUGGAGGGCCGUGAUAUUCUGAAACAGGGAAUAAUAAAGCGUAUAGGAAACAAUCAGACUACGCGCAUAUGGGAUGAUAAUUGGAUUCCCCGAGAUGAAAUGCUGAGACCGUAUGGGUGUUGUGUUGCAAAUCCUCCAGAGUUGGUGACUGAUCUCAUAGAUGCCACGUUGGACACAUGGAACUGGCAGCUCGUACAAUAG